CGUUUGUUUAUGUAAUAUAUACGUGUUUCUCGUUUCUCGUUUUGUUUAUAUAGAUUAGACCGUUGGUUUUCCCGUUUGAAUGGUUUUACACUAGUAAUUUUGGGGCCCUUUAUAGCUUGUUGUUCGGUGUGAGCCAAGGCUCCGUGUUGAAGGCCGUACUUCAACCUAUAAUGGUUUACUUUUUAAAUUGUUAUUUGGAUGGAGAGUUGUCUCAUUGGCACUCAC
This 225-nucleotide long non-coding RNA is filed under the name Mytilus galloprovincialis (Mediterranean mussel). The record is from RNAcentral. Lineage: Eukaryota; Metazoa; Mollusca; Bivalvia; Mytilida; Mytilidae.